Non-coding RNA from Arachis ipaensis, 811 nucleotides. The record is from RefSeq and is a predicted model, not a curated record. Lineage: Eukaryota; Viridiplantae; Streptophyta; Magnoliopsida; Fabales; Fabaceae.
AUUAAACACAAAAUCCUAAUUCUCUUGUACCCAACCCUAGCCGCCACUAACAUUUUCCUUAUCACAGACACACGGUAGAAAAAAGAAAAAAAAAGAAACAAAAGAAAGGGAAGAACGAAGUGGGGACAGGGAAAUCAGGGAAGAAAAAAAGAAAGAAAGGGAAAGAAUAGAAAGGGGGAAAACAGGGGAAGCUUGAAGAAAGAAAGAUAGGGAAGGGAGAAAGAGGUAUCGAGGGAGAAGAGAGGAGGAACGGCUCCGGCGAGGAGCCCACAGUCGCUGCCGUCGCGUCGCCAAAGGGAUCAGAGCCGCGAAGAGAGAGAGCUCAGGAGAGAGAGGAGCGUCACCAUCGUUGUCACGGUCGCAGGCGUGAAGGCCGCCGCUGUCGCCGCGCCUUGCCUAGUCGCCGUUGAGAUGGCUGAGCGCAAGGAAGAAGUAGCUUUCGUCGUCACCAAGCCGUCACUGCCGGUCCAUCCACGAGCCGCCACCAGAGUCGUGAACGAACAGAGGAGGAGAAGAACGCGUGGUGGUGGGUGUUCUCUUAGCCAUCGCCGUCGAAGGAUGCUCCACCGCCGCCGUUGAAGGAACUAUCGCCACGAGAGCCCUAGCCAUCGUCGCUGUGGGAGCUCGCCACCACUGUGAAAAUGAACCGAGGUAAGCAUUUGAAGAUUUUGUUGUAAACCUCACCGUCAAGCCUAGAAGGAGUCGCCGCUGUUGUUGUCUCGGGAACCAAAUGAAGAGGCAUUAAGGAGAGUUAUACUGUGUUUGGUUUAUAUGUUAUUGUAUUAAUUAGAUUAUUUUCUUCCCUCGUCUU